CCUACGGGUGGCAGCAGUGGGGAAUAUUGGGCAAUGGGCGCAAGCCUGACCCAGCAACGCCGCGUGAAGGAAGAAGGCUCUCGGGUUGUAAACUUCUUUUAUCAGGGACGAAGCAAGUGACGGUACCUGAUGAAUAAGCCACGGCUAACUACGUGCCAGCAGCCGCGGUAAUACGUAGGUGGCAAGCGUUAUCCGGAUUUACUGGGUGUAAAGGGCGUGUAGGCGGGAAAGCAAGUCAGAUGUGAAAACCAUGGGCUCAACCUGUGGCCUGCAUUUGAAACUGUUUUUCUUGAGUACUGGAGAGGCAGACGGAAUUCCAAGUGUAGCGGUGAAAUGCGUAGAUAUAAGGAGGAAGACCAGUGGCGAGGGCGGUCUGCUGGACAGCAACUGACGCUGAGGCGCGAAAGCGUGGGGAGCAAACAGGAUUAGAUACCCCAGUAGUC
This 443-nucleotide ribosomal RNA is filed under the name uncultured bacterium. RNAcentral's name for it is "partial 16S ribosomal RNA". It matches the Rfam family "Bacterial small subunit ribosomal RNA", at positions 338 to 795 of the family's 1533-position model. The record is from RNAcentral.